Molecule: non-coding RNA, 23 nt
Filed under: Arabidopsis thaliana (thale cress)
Lineage: Eukaryota; Viridiplantae; Streptophyta; Magnoliopsida; Brassicales; Brassicaceae
Also listed under: 4 other names
Source: RNAcentral
GGUAGCCAAAUGCCUCGUCAUCU